UACGGAGGGUGCGAGCGUUAUCCGGAAUUACUGGGUUUAAAGGGUGCGUAGGCGGCCAAGUAAGUCAGGAGUGAAAGUUUGCGGCUCAACCGUAAAAUUGCUUUUGAUACUGCUAGGCUAGAAUUAGGAUGAGGUCAGCGGAAUGUGGCAUGUAGCGGUGAAAUGCAUAGAUAUGCCAUAGAACACCAAUUGCGAAGGCAGCUGGCUAGACCUAUAUUGACGCUGAGGCACGAAAGCGUGGGGAGCGAACAGG
This 253-nucleotide ribosomal RNA is filed under the name uncultured bacterium. Its description in RNAcentral is "partial 16S ribosomal RNA". It matches the Rfam family "Bacterial small subunit ribosomal RNA", at positions 524 to 776 of the family's 1533-position model. The record is from RNAcentral.